Molecule: ribosomal RNA, 253 nt
Filed under: uncultured bacterium
Lineage: Bacteria
Description: partial 16S ribosomal RNA
Rfam family: Bacterial small subunit ribosomal RNA
Source: RNAcentral
UACGAAGGGGGCUAGCGUUGCUCGGAAUUACUGGGCGUAAAGGGAGCGUAGGCGGAUAGUUUAGUCAGAGGUGAAAGCCCAGGGCUCAACCUUGGAACAGCCUUUGAUACUGGCUAUCUUGAGUACGGGAGAGGUUAGUGGAACUCCGAGUGUAGAGGUGAAAUUCGUAGAUAUUCGGAAGAACACCAGUGGCGAAGGCGACUCACUGGCCCGUUACUGACGCUGAGGCUCGAAAGCGUGGGGAGCAAACAGG